UGCCUCUCUGUCCUUCCUCCUCUACUUCCUGGCUGGGGCACAGGAAAGGAAUCGCACAGAGACGGUUGUCUGCUAGCAUGGCCAGCUCCGAGUUUCAGUUACAUUGAUCACUGGCUCUUGUGUAGUUUUCCGAUGGCACAAAGGGGAUUCUAGGGCAGCUUUCCCUUCAGUGCCCUUUCGCUAGGGCUCACCGUUCUGUCCAGCAUGUGUGCAGAAAGAGAAGAUCCCUGGGGUGACGUUUUGAAGACUAUCACAGGGAGCCAUUCUGUCUGCAUCCUGUCUCGGUCACUGCUUGUCUAAGUACCAGAGAGCUGCUCCCCAGUGUGUCCAGGCCUCCAUCACCACUGGGACCCCAACAUCUGGUUCCCAGGAUUCUGAGAGGCCCACCCAGAUACCAUCAUACCCCAGCCAGAAGCCCGCCUGGACACCAGUGGCUUGGGCGUGCAGGCCCCAGCCAAAGGGCUCAAGGAAAACAGCUGUGCGGGGCCCCGGAGAGAGGCCUGCCCAGACAACAGCCCAGCGUGGGGAUCUAGAAGGCCAUCAUUGUGAACCCAGGAAUUGGCUCAGAGGUGAGCAGGACAGAGAAGGCCUC
Heterocephalus glaber (naked mole-rat) is the source of this 592-nucleotide long non-coding RNA. The record is from Ensembl. Lineage: Eukaryota; Metazoa; Chordata; Mammalia; Rodentia; Bathyergidae.